This 275-nucleotide ribosomal RNA is filed under the name uncultured prokaryote. Its description in RNAcentral is "partial 16S ribosomal RNA". It matches the Rfam family "Bacterial small subunit ribosomal RNA", at positions 524 to 798 of the family's 1533-position model. The record is from RNAcentral.
UACGUAGGUGGCGAGCGUUGUCCGGAAUUACUGGGCGUAAAGCGCGCGUAGGCGGUCUGAUCAGCCGGUUGUGAAAGCCCCGGGCUCAACCUGGGAACGGCAUCCGGAACUGUCAGGCUAGAGUGCAGGAGAGGAAGGUAGAAUUCCCGGUGUAGCGGUGAAAUGCGUAGAGAUCGGGAGGAAUACCAGUGGCGAAGGCGGCCUUCUGGACUGACACUGACGCUGAGGUGCGAAAGCGUGGGUAGCAAACAGGAUUAGAUACCCCCGUAGUCCCU